AGGAGGAACAGCCCCAGUGGCGGGGCAGCUCUGGAAACCUGGAUUCAGCUCCGGCAGGAACUACAGAGCUCUCCGUCUGCAGGGCCUGGAGGCUCCGGGGCGGG
Molecule: microRNA precursor, 104 nt
Filed under: Canis lupus dingo (dingo)
Lineage: Eukaryota; Metazoa; Chordata; Mammalia; Carnivora; Canidae
Description: mir-8834 microRNA precursor family
Rfam family: mir-8834 microRNA precursor family
Source: Rfam by way of RNAcentral